UCCUGCUGCUCAGUGAUGUCCAAGUCUGGAU
RNAcentral lists this non-coding RNA (31 nucleotides) under Rattus norvegicus (Norway rat). The record is from RNAcentral. Lineage: Eukaryota; Metazoa; Chordata; Mammalia; Rodentia; Muridae.